Molecule: ribosomal RNA, 253 nt
Filed under: uncultured bacterium
Lineage: Bacteria
Description: partial 16S ribosomal RNA
Rfam family: Bacterial small subunit ribosomal RNA
Source: RNAcentral
UACGUAGGGGGCAAGCGUUGUCCGGAAUUAUUGGGCGUAAAGAGCGCGUAGGCGGUCCGAUAAGUCGGCUGUGAAAGUCAGGGGCUCAACCCUUGGAAGCCGGCCGAUACUGUCGGACUAGAGUCCGGAAGAGGCGAGUGGAAUUCCCGGUGUAGCGGUGAAAUGCGCAGAUAUCGGGAGGAACACCAAUGGCGAAGGCAGCUCGCUGGGACGGUACUGACGCUGAGGCGCGAAGGCCAGGGGAGCAAACGGG